AACGAACGCUGGCGGCAGGCUUAACACAUGCAAGUCGAACGGGCAUAGCAAUAUGUCAGUGGCAGACGGGUGAGUAACACGUGGGAACCUUCCUAGAGGUACGGAACAACGCAGGGAAACUUGUGCUAAUACCGUAUACGCUCUUGCGAGGAAAGAUUUAUCGCCUUUAGACGGGCCCGCGUAGGAUUAGGUAGUUGGUGGGGUAAUGGCUCACCAAGCCUACGAUCCUUAGCUGAUCUGAGAGGAUGAUCAGCCACACUGGAACUGAGACACGGUCCAGACUCCUACGGGAGGCAG
RNAcentral lists this ribosomal RNA (297 nucleotides) under uncultured Pseudomonadota bacterium. Its description in RNAcentral is "uncultured proteobacterium partial 16S ribosomal RNA". It matches the Rfam family "Bacterial small subunit ribosomal RNA", at positions 29 to 351 of the family's 1533-position model. The record is from RNAcentral. Lineage: Bacteria; Pseudomonadati; Pseudomonadota.